UACGUAGGGAGCAAGCGUUGUCCGGAAUCAUUGGGCGUAAAGCGCGCGUAGGCGGCCCUGUAAGUCCGUUGUGAAAGUCCAAGGCUCAACCUUUGAAAGCCGAUGGAUACUGCAGGGCUAGAGUCCGGAAGAGGCGAGUGGAAUUCCUGGUGUAGCGGUGGAAUGCGCAGAUAUCAGGAGGAACACCAAUAGCGAAGGCAGCUCGCUGGGACGGUACUGACGCUAAGGCGCGAAAGCGUGGGGAGCGAACAGG
This 253-nucleotide ribosomal RNA is filed under the name uncultured bacterium. Its description in RNAcentral is "partial 16S ribosomal RNA". It matches the Rfam family "Bacterial small subunit ribosomal RNA", at positions 524 to 776 of the family's 1533-position model. The record is from RNAcentral.